UACGGGGGGAGCAAGCGUUGUUCGGAUUUACUGGGCGUAAAGGGCGCGUAGGCGGCGUGACAAGUCACUUGUGAAAUCUCCGGGCUUAACUCGGAACGGUCAAGUGAUACUGUCGUGCUAGAGUACAGAAGGGGCAACUGGAAUUCUCGGUGUAGCGGUGAAAUGCGUAGAUAUCGAGAGGAACACCCGUGGCGAAGGCGGCUCUCUGGGACGGUACUGACGCUGAGACGCGAAAGCGUGGGGAGCGAACGGG
This 253-nucleotide ribosomal RNA is filed under the name uncultured bacterium. RNAcentral describes it as "partial 16S ribosomal RNA". It matches the Rfam family "Bacterial small subunit ribosomal RNA", at positions 524 to 776 of the family's 1533-position model. The record is from RNAcentral.